GAUGAACGCUGGCGGCGUGCCUAAUACAUGCAAGUCGAGCGAACGGACGAGAAGCUUGCUUCUCUGAUGUUAGCGGCGGACGGGUGAGUAACACGUGGAUAACCUACCUAUAAGACUGGGAUAACUUGGGAAACCGUAGCUUAUACCGGAUAAUCUUUUGAACAGCAUGGUUCAAAAGUGAAACACGGUCUUUCUGUCACUUAUAGAUGGAUCCGCGCUGCAUUAGCUAGUUGGUAAGGUAACGGCUUACCAAGGCAACGAUGCAUAGCCGACCUGAGAGGGUGAUCGGCCACACUGGAACUGAGACACGGUCCAGACUCCUACGGGAGGCAGCAGUAGGGAAUCUUCCGCAAUGGGCGAAAGCCUGACGGAGCAACGCCGCGUGAGUGAUGAAGGUCUUCGGAUCGUAAAACUCUGUUAUUAGGGAAGAACAUAUGUGUAAGUAACUGUGCACAUCUUGACGGUACCGAAUCAGAAAGCCACGGCUAACUACGUG
This 496-nucleotide ribosomal RNA is filed under the name uncultured bacterium. RNAcentral's name for it is "partial 16S ribosomal RNA". It matches the Rfam family "Bacterial small subunit ribosomal RNA", at positions 28 to 507 of the family's 1533-position model. The record is from RNAcentral.